Molecule: ribosomal RNA, 428 nt
Filed under: Brucella melitensis
Lineage: Bacteria; Pseudomonadati; Pseudomonadota; Alphaproteobacteria; Hyphomicrobiales; Brucellaceae
Also listed under: 4 other names
Description: partial 16S ribosomal RNA
Rfam family: Bacterial small subunit ribosomal RNA
Source: RNAcentral
UGGGGAAUAUUGGACAAUGGGGGGAACCCUGAUCCAGCCAUGCCGCGUGUGUGAAGAAGGCCUUUUGGUUGUAAAGCACUUUAAGCGAGGAGGAGGCUACCGAGAUUAAUACUCUUGGAUAGUGGACGUUACUCGCAGAAUAAGCACCGGCUAACUCUGUGCCAGCAGCCGCGGUAAUACAGAGGGUGCAAGCGUUAAUCGGAUUUACUGGGCGUAAAGCGCGCGUAGGUGGCCAAUUAAGUCAAAUGUGAAAUCCCCGAGCUUAACUUGGGAAUUGCAUUCGAUACUGGUUGGCUAGAGUAUGGGAGAGGAUGGUAGAAUUCCAGGUGUAGCGGUGAAAUGCGUAGAGAUCUGGAGGAAUACCGAUGGCGAAGGCAGCCAUCUGGCCUAAUACUGACACUGAGGUGCGAAAGCAUGGGGAGCAAACA